ACUGAUAACAUCUUGGAAAUACAUGUACCAUAUGAAUGUGCUAUAUAAUGUACAGGUUAAUGUAAAAUGAAACUACUUUUUGUUUUGAAUGAAUCAAUGAAGGUCAGAGUAACAGUAGGGGUAGUUUAUGAAGGUCAGAGUAACAGUAGGGGUAGUUUAUGAAGGUCAGAGUAACAGUAGGGUCAAUGAAGGUCAGAGUAACAGUAGGUCAAUGAAGGUCAGAGUAACAGUAGGGGUAGUUUAUGAAGGUCAGAGUAACAGUAGGGGUCAAUGAAGGUCAGAGUAACAGUAGGGGUCAAUGAAGGUCAGAGUAACAGUAGGGGUAGUUUAUGAAGGUCAGAGUAACAGUAGGGGUAGUUUAUGAAGGUCAGAGUAACAGUAGGGGUCAAUGAAGGUCAGAGUAACAGUAGGGGUCAAUGAAGGUCAGAGUAACAGUAGGG
Molecule: long non-coding RNA, 440 nt
Filed under: Mytilus galloprovincialis (Mediterranean mussel)
Lineage: Eukaryota; Metazoa; Mollusca; Bivalvia; Mytilida; Mytilidae
Source: RNAcentral